UGAGAGGCUGAUGGCCAUGGAGAUAAGAUUCUAGCCUUUUAGGGCAAACAGGGGCUCCUUGGUGGAGGAUGUAACAAGAGCCUCUGCUAUCCUCUCCAGUCUGGAAAGCGGUCAGUUUCCAUACUCCAGCUGAAUGGAGCAAUGGAAAGAUGCCCAUGUUCUAUUUUGUGGAACUUGAGAAUAUGGAAUCUUCAAAUCGGACUUCACAAGUGGGAGAUGAAAGCACAAACACGAGAAAUGGCAGCAGAGGAACGAGUCAGCGAGGUGCUCUCCUGCCUCUUGUCCCUCGGUGAGAGAGGCCCCACGCUGGGCCACCGGCCGAGCAGGAUAUGGUCUUUUGGGAAGAGAGAACCUUAAUUGAGAAAAUGCCCUCACUCAUGAGAUGGGCUUGUGGUCCUGCCUGUUGGGCACUCUUUUGAUUAAUGGCUCAAUUGGGAAGGCCAAGCUCACUGUGGUGGUGCUGUGGCAGGUGACUCUGGGGUACAAAAGAAGCAGACUGCACAGCCACGAGGAAUAAGACAACAACAGCAUCCUCCAUGGCUUCCGUUCCUGCCCUGACUUCUGAUGACAGACUGUGAUGUGGAAGUGUAAGCUGAAUAAACCUAAGUUGGUUUUGGUCUUGUUUUAUCACAGCAAUAGAAACCCUCUCUUAGACAAUGGGCAAUGCAUAUUUCAAGGUUAUAGGCUGAACAUGUGCUUUUCUGAUUUGCAAAGCCCUCAUUCUUACCUAAACACCGGUGAUUGGCUUUGGUUU
This 754-nucleotide long non-coding RNA is filed under the name Rattus norvegicus (Norway rat). RNAcentral's name for it is "long non-coding RNA NONRATT003984". The record is from RNAcentral. Lineage: Eukaryota; Metazoa; Chordata; Mammalia; Rodentia; Muridae.